UACGAAGGGGGCUAGCGUUGCUCGGAAUCACUGGGCGUAAAGCGCACGUAGGCGGACUCUUAAGUCGGUGGUGAAAUCCUGGAGCUCAACUCCAGAACUGCCUUCGAUACUGGGAGUCUCGAGUUCGGGAGAGGUGAGUGGAACCGCGAGUGUAGAGGUGAAAUUCGUAGAUAUUCGCAAGAACACCAGUGGCGAAGGCGGCUCACUGGCCCGAUACUGACGCUGAGGUGCGAAAGCGUGGGGAGCAAACAGG
RNAcentral lists this ribosomal RNA (253 nucleotides) under uncultured bacterium. Its description in RNAcentral is "partial 16S ribosomal RNA". It matches the Rfam family "Bacterial small subunit ribosomal RNA", at positions 524 to 776 of the family's 1533-position model. The record is from RNAcentral.